This 268-nucleotide unclassified non-coding RNA is filed under the name Hevea brasiliensis (rubber tree). The record is from RNAcentral. Lineage: Eukaryota; Viridiplantae; Streptophyta; Magnoliopsida; Malpighiales; Euphorbiaceae.
GGGGAAAAGGGUUUGGUUUGUUUGGGCGGGUUUAGGAAUGUGAGAGCGGUGUAUGAGUGGAGCGGGUUGAAAUUGGAGCUAGAUGAAACACAUUAUGAUUUUGGAAUGAAUUAUGAGAUUGAAUGUGAGAGUAGUGAUCCAGAAAAAGCUAAGGAUUUGCUGGAGGAGUUUUUGAAGAUUCAUGGUAUUGAAUAUUCCUACUCCAAUGUUUCUAAAUUUGCCAUUUUUCGCUCUAGAAAAUUGCCUCAGUAAGUAAUAGUAGUAGUAA